CAGCAGCCGCGGUAAUGCGGAGGGCGCGAGCGUUGUCCGGAUUCACUGGGCGUAAAGCGUGCGCAGGCGGUUUUGUAAGACAGGCGUGAAAUCCCCGGGCUCAACCUGGGAAUUGCGCUUGUGACUGCAAAGCUGGAGUGCGGCAGAGGGGGAUGGAAUUCCGCGUGUAGCAGUGAAAUGCGUAGAUAUGCGGAGGAACACCGAUGGCGAAGGCAAUCCCCUGGGCCUGCACUGACGCUCAUGCACGAAAGCGUGGGGAGCAAACAGGAUUAGAUACCCUGGUAGUCCACGCCCUAAACGAUGUCAACUGGUUGUUGGGUCUCUGCUGACUCAGUAACGAAGCUAACGCGUGAAGUUGACCGCCUGGGGAGUACGGCCGCAAGGUUGAAACUUAAAGGAAUUGGCGGG
RNAcentral lists this ribosomal RNA (408 nucleotides) under uncultured microorganism. RNAcentral describes it as "bacterial SSU rRNA". It matches the Rfam family "Bacterial small subunit ribosomal RNA", at positions 509 to 917 of the family's 1533-position model. The record is from RNAcentral.